CUGAACAGGCAUCCCUUGAGGGAUAACACUUCCCUUUUGAACAUCCCUACAGAUGAGCAAAGUCAUCACUCUCAUUUUCUGUGGUGGUUGAAAACUGAGGCUUGCCUGUCCUACUUACAGUGUAUCCUUGAGCUACUGGGAAGAUUCAGAUACAAAUGAGGUAGAGGAAAAAAUCUAUCAUAGGAACUGACUGAACUAUGGAUGCACUGUGGCCUUGCAUUCUUGAGGACUUCUAUGUUGAAUGAACAUGUCAGGUGGACCCUUGUUGACGACAGCCAUUGAUGCAUGCUGUGGAACUCUGCGUCCUGACAGACACCUGGGCAGGAAACUUGAUAAGGGAAGUACCCAAAUUUAGUUGUUACCCACUCCAACAAGAGAUGAGGAAACCGAAGAUUGCAAAGCAUGGCUCAAAGAAGGAAAACAACAGUAAAGAUAGCAGCUCUUUCUCCCCCUCAAUAUCCAAAUCGUAUUGCUUUGGCAAAAUUGUUGCCUGGAGAAGCAGUCCUGCAUCAGGGUAACAAAUAGACAAUUAUGACGCUCAGCCAGAUUC
This 550-nucleotide long non-coding RNA is filed under the name Homo sapiens (human). RNAcentral's name for it is "HSALNT0079215". Lineage: Eukaryota; Metazoa; Chordata; Mammalia; Primates; Hominidae. The record is from RNAcentral.